ACAUCUUUGGAUCGCGCCGCAUGAAAUGCACCCGCAAUCCUAAACAUAUUUUAUUCAACGUUGUGGAGAAUUGAAAUUGGGUCACAUGAAAUGCACACUCGAAAUUAGAAUUAGGUAACACAGCUACAUCACGGGAACCGUAUGCGUAGCCAUAAUUUAUUCAAGAGUUUGACUAAUUUUGUUAAAAUUGGUUGAGAUUAGAGGUCACACAGCUCGUGGAAUUAAUGCGUGGAUGAUUUGAGCCCAACUCAUAAAUUGCAGGUGUAUCAUCAUUGAAACCCAAAACUAGCUUAGAACACUACAUCAAUAUAACAAGAGUAUGACACUAACUAAAAUUAUGUAUUGUUUGUACUAUUAUGGAGUUAAGUGCCCACACAGUGCAUCAAUCUAGAAACAAUCCUUUUACUUUAUUUGUCAUAAACAAUAUUGUACUACUGCAGCAUGGUCAGAUUCAAACUUAAACAAAUUAAAAUCAUGAAUGAAAAGCAAAAGCACAUAGCAAAAGCAAAAAGCAAAAGUAAAAGCAAAAGGGUGCAAUUAUUUUUGCCGCUUUUAAUAUUUCGGAAAAAAUUUAAAGUUAUUUAAAACACAUCGUAAGCCACGCUACAUAAAUGCACCCGCGGUUCGGAACACAUGUUAUAUAACAUUGUCGAGAUUUGGAUUUGGGUCACAUAAAUGCGCACCCGAGUUUAGGAAGGUAAAUUAUUAAGUAGCGCGCCUAAAGCGACUACGCCUUUUCGAAUUUGCGAGGGCCAUGAAAAUUCAACUAAAUAGCACGCCUCCAAUUCUAAGGAUUCAAUUAUUCAAAAUCAACUAAAUGAGGGCAGCCAUCUUAGCUGUUGGAAGUCAGUAGCUUUUGAGGCUAAAGCUAAAGAUCUCAAAAUUCUAGGAUUCAUUUCAAUUAACAUGCUUUCCCCAGCAACUGGAUUUACAGCAAACA
This 940-nucleotide long non-coding RNA is filed under the name Nicotiana tabacum (common tobacco). RNAcentral's name for it is "long non-coding RNA (NTAB_LNC001662)". Lineage: Eukaryota; Viridiplantae; Streptophyta; Magnoliopsida; Solanales; Solanaceae. The record is from RNAcentral.